Molecule: transfer RNA, 62 nt
Filed under: Hyalella sp. 30-5C
Lineage: Eukaryota; Metazoa; Arthropoda; Malacostraca; Amphipoda; Hyalellidae
Also listed under: 6 other names
Description: tRNA-Met
Source: RNAcentral
AAAAAGAUAAGCUAAAUAAGCUACCGGGCUCAUACCUCGUUUAUGAAUAAACUCUCUUUUGA